This 460-nucleotide ribosomal RNA is filed under the name uncultured bacterium. Its description in RNAcentral is "partial 16S ribosomal RNA". It matches the Rfam family "Bacterial small subunit ribosomal RNA", at positions 338 to 795 of the family's 1533-position model. The record is from RNAcentral.
CCUACGGGUGGCAGCAGUGAGGAAUAUUGGUCAAUGGGCGGAAGCCUGAACCAGCCAAGUAGCGUGCAGGAUGACGGCCCUACGGGUUGUAAACUGCUUUUAUACGGGAAUAACGCGCCUUACGUGUAGAGCUUUGCAUGUACCGUAUGAAUCAGGACCGGCUAAUUCCGUGCCAGCAGCCGCGGUAAUACGGAGGGUCCGGGCGUUAUCCGGAUUUAUUGGGGUUAAAGGGAGCGUAGGCCGCAUGUCAAGCGUGCUGUGAAAUGUCCGGGCUCAACCCGGUGCUUGCUGCGCGAACUGGCGUGCUGGAGUGCGGGGAAAGCAGGCGGAAUUCGUCGUGUAGCGGUGAAAUGCUUAGAUAUGACGAAGAACCCCGAUUGCGAAGGCAGCUUGCUGCAGCGGAACUGACGCUGAUGCUCGAAAGCGCGGGGAUCGAACAGGAUUAGAUACCCCGGUAGUC